GAAUCUUGCGCAAUGGAGGCAACUCUGACGCAGCGACGCCGCGUGAACGAUGAAGGUCUUCGGAUCGUAAAGUUCUGUCCUUGGGGAAGAAGGGCAUCUUAGAUGUCUUGACGGUACCCAAGAAGGAAGCCCCGGCUAACUACGUGCCAGCAGCCGCGGUAAUACGUAGGGGGCAAGCGUUGUCCGGAAUUACUGGGCGUAAAGGGUGCGCAGGCGGCCAUUUAAGUCAGGUGUGAAAGACCACGGCUUAACCGUGGGGUUGCAUUUGAAACUGGGUGGCUUGAGUGUCGGAGAGGGUAGUGGAAUUCCCAGUGUAGCGGUGAAAUGCGUAGAUAUUGGGAGGAACACCAGUGGCGGAGGCGACUACCUGGCCGAUUACUGACGCUGAGGCACGAAAGCUAGGGGAGCAAAC
This 412-nucleotide ribosomal RNA is filed under the name uncultured bacterium. RNAcentral's name for it is "bacterial SSU rRNA". It matches the Rfam family "Bacterial small subunit ribosomal RNA", at positions 359 to 773 of the family's 1533-position model. The record is from RNAcentral.